UACGUAGGGCGCAAGCGUUAUCCGGAAUUAUUGGGCGUAAAGAGCUCGUAGGCGGUUUGUCGCGUCUGCCGUGAAAGUCCGGGGCUCAACUCCGGAUCUGCGGUGGGUACGGGCAGACUAGAGUGAUGUAGGGGAGACUGGAAUUCCUGGUGUAGCGGUGAAAUGCGCAGAUAUCGGGAGGAACACCGGUGGCGAAGGCGGGUCUCUGGGCCGAUACUGACGCUGAGGAGCGAAAGCGUGGGGAGCAAACAGG
Molecule: ribosomal RNA, 253 nt
Filed under: uncultured bacterium
Lineage: Bacteria
Description: partial 16S ribosomal RNA
Rfam family: Bacterial small subunit ribosomal RNA
Source: RNAcentral